ACGAAUAUGCCGAAAUUGGUAGACGGGUGAGUUUUAGGAACUCAUAAUUACAAAGAUUGUAAGGGUUCAAGUCUCUUUAUUCGUA
This 85-nucleotide transfer RNA is filed under the name Marasmius tenuissimus. RNAcentral's name for it is "tRNA-Leu". It matches the Rfam family "tRNA". Rfam says of the family: Transfer RNA (tRNA) molecules are approximately 80 nucleotides in length. Lineage: Eukaryota; Fungi; Basidiomycota; Agaricomycetes; Agaricales; Marasmiaceae. The record is from RNAcentral.